Nicotiana attenuata is the source of this 616-nucleotide long non-coding RNA. RefSeq lists it as uncharacterized. The record is from RefSeq and is a predicted model, not a curated record. Lineage: Eukaryota; Viridiplantae; Streptophyta; Magnoliopsida; Solanales; Solanaceae. The transcript is spliced from 2 exons.
AUGAGCAUCAUGUGAGGGAAUCAAGGUAUCUUUUAAUCUUCAACAGUUAGGUGUUGUGAAGGAGUUGAAUGGGUCAAACUAUAACUAGAAUUUGUCUACUGUCUAUAUUUAAGAGAAAGGAGAGUUGCGAAGUCCGAAUUCCGAUUAUCGAACGGAGCCGUCGGCAAGAAUUGCUUUGGGCGAAUCCUCUGUGGGGAUAUCGCAAUGGGAUACGUGCAGGAAGCCCGAGAAAAUCACGUCAAGAAGAAGGGUGCUUUUGGUUGAAAAUUGUAGAAGACUGUAGGGAGUGGCAAUGCUGGAUAUUACAGUCUACCUUGAAGUUAAUAAUCCCUCCAUUGAUCAGCACAAAGAUAUGCGUUUGGACAUACAUCACAUGUCCUAUGAGGUGACAACUGGGUUUCUCGAUUAUAUGGACUGUCUAACAAUGGUUGACGAGUAUAUGUUAAUUCUCUGCUUUAUUUUUGUGGUAGUUACUACAUGAACAUGCAAAGAACAUUGAUGUGUAUACUGGUUGAGAUUUUGUAUUAUUGUUUUACUAUCCCUGCAAUUAUGGGCGAUGUGUAUGUGCACUUGAAGUGAAUUUUGGGAAAUCUACUUUAGCUUUUGCUUCUUAUAA